Struthio camelus australis is the source of this 838-nucleotide long non-coding RNA. Lineage: Eukaryota; Metazoa; Chordata; Aves; Struthioniformes; Struthionidae. The record is from Ensembl.
UGGAUCCGGAUCCGUGAACAACGUACCCCCCAGCCCCUUCACAGGAGCAGUGACCCGUCCCUCACCUCCAGCUCACACGAGCCCCCGAGAAGGCUCACAGGGCAGGGGAAGCCUCUCGCUUAAAUGAUCUGCGAAGCUUAUGCCCCGUUGCCUGCAGUGCGCUGCCCCUCACUCGCUUUCCUCGGAGUGACCGUCCACACCCCCCCUUCCGGCCCCUUUUCCCCAGCAAGGUGAUAACUUUGUCAAGCCGUAACCCAGCCUAGCUCAACCCAUGGGUAGAGCUGAAGCGCUGCAAUGAAUCUCAGCAGAAUCAUUCCUCACCUCGAGAGCUUGCUGCCCUUAGAAAUGACUUCAGCACGCUUUUGCAAAUGUAAAGGGAAAUCAAGAUUACUUCUUCAUGUCUCUUGAUCUUGACCAGACUAGAAGAACCAGUAGUUCUUAGAGCUGCAGUGGAGAGUGACCUGUUGUGUUUGUGGAAGCUCUGGAAUCCCACAGGAGAAGGAUCACUCAGCACUGUGGCAACCUGCCAAGUACAACUUGUUCUGAAACACAGUGGCUCUGAGAAGUUGCAUUAUCAACUGAAACACAGUGUCAGCUUAGCAGGAGGACAUAAUUGUAAGCUGAUGCCACAGCUCCGUUCCCGCAAAGCAGUACAACAUACUGCUGAAGCCGUCGUUGGGAUUUCAAUCUAAAAUUUUGAGAUAAAUGGACAAGUACAAGCAGAACUACAUGAUAAGCUUAAAAGAGCAUUACCUGGUGAAAACAAAAGAAAAUGUGGGCUGGCCCAGAUGGCUGAAUAUCAAGCUUAAUACAUUUUUGAAAGGCAAGUAUGUCCCCU